Molecule: ribosomal RNA, 542 nt
Filed under: uncultured bacterium
Lineage: Bacteria
Description: bacterial SSU rRNA
Rfam family: Bacterial small subunit ribosomal RNA
Source: RNAcentral
GGANUGGACAAAGUCUGACGCAGCAACGCCGCGUGGGGGAUGAAGCUUCUCGGAGUGUAAACCCCUUUCGACCCGGACGAAUGCCCGCAAGGGUUUGACGGUACGGGUAUAAGAAGCCCCGGCUAACUACGUGCCAGCAGCCGCGGUAAAACGUAGGGGGCCAGCGUUGCUCGGAAUUACUGGGCGUAAAGGGUCCGUAGGCGGUGUGGCAAGUCGGAAGUGAAAUCUCUGGGCUUAACCCAGAGGCUGCUCCCGAAACUGCUGUGCUAGAGUGCGAGAGAGGCGAGUGGAAUUGCGGGUGUAGCGGUGAAAUGCGUAGAUAUCCGCAGGAACAUCCGAGGCGAAAGCGGCUCGCUGGAUCGCAACUGACGCUGAGGGACGAAAGCUAGGGGAGCAAACAGGAUUAGAUACCCUGGUAGUCCUAGCCCUAAACCAUCAGGACUUGGGGUUUGCCCUGUACGGGGCAAGUCCCGUAGCUAACGCGUUAAGUCCUGCGCCUGGGGAGUACGGUCGCAAGGCUGAAACUCAAAAAAAUUGACGGA